CUGGCUCAGAAUGAACGCUGGCGGCGUGCUUAACACAUGCAAGUCGAACGAGAAAGUUCCCUUCGGGGGACAAGUAAAGUGGCGCACGGGUGAGUAACGCGUGGAUAAUCUGCCCUUGAAUUCGGAAUAACAUCGCGAAAGCGGUGCUAAUACCGGAUGAUGUUGUAUUUU
RNAcentral lists this ribosomal RNA (171 nucleotides) under Desulfobotulus alkaliphilus. RNAcentral describes it as "partial 16S ribosomal RNA". It matches the Rfam family "Bacterial small subunit ribosomal RNA", at positions 19 to 187 of the family's 1533-position model. Lineage: Bacteria; Pseudomonadati; Thermodesulfobacteriota; Desulfobacteria; Desulfobacterales; Desulfobacteraceae. The record is from RNAcentral.